AUGUUGAUGCAAGACUACUUUGCGGAGAAUCAAACAUAUCCACCUCACCUCUUCCGGAGAAGGUACCGAAUGCGCUGAUCCCUCUUUGUUAGACUUGUUCAAGCUUGCGAGGUCAAUUGUCGAUAUUUUACGCAACGAAGAAAUGUCGCGGUCUUGAAGGGAUUUAAUGCAUAUCAAAAAAUCUCAUCAGCUAUGCGGGUGAUUGUGUAUGGGGUUUUGGAUGGUUAUGCCGAUGCGUAUCUUCACAUUGGUGAAGAUACAACAAUUAAGUCGGUGCAUAGAUUUACCAAAGUGAUCGUCCGUGUCUUUGGUCCUGAAUAUCUUCGGGCACCGAACGAGGAUGACACAAAGAAAUUGAUGACAUCUAAUGAGAGGAGAGGGUGGCCCGGCAUGCUAGGUAGCAUUGAUUGUAUGCAUUGGAUAUGGAAAAAUUGCCCGAAGGCAUGGCAAGGAAUAUAUUGUGGCAAGUCUCGUGAUGCCACGAUUGUUCUAGAGGCCGUAGCAUCCGAGGAUUUAUGGAUUUGGCAUUGCUUUUUUGGUAUGUCGGGCACUCUCAAUGAUAUCAAUGUGUUACAACAGUCUCAUUUGUUUGCUACACUUGCUAGUGGUGAUGCUCCUGCUUGCAACUACACAAUCAAUGGGCAUGAAUACACAAAAGGGUACUAUCUUGCUGAUGGUAUAUACCCUUUUUGGUGCACAUUUGUCAAGAUCAUCAAAGAACCAAAAACUAAAAAAUAA
RNAcentral lists this ribosomal RNA (738 nucleotides) under Triticum aestivum (bread wheat). RNAcentral describes it as "partial small subunit ribosomal RNA". The record is from RNAcentral. Lineage: Eukaryota; Viridiplantae; Streptophyta; Magnoliopsida; Poales; Poaceae.